UCCUUCCUUCCGGAGACGCGUCCUACUCUUAGCUGAGCGGGGCGUGGAGACGGAUCGUUUACUUUGAAAAAAUCAGAGUGUUUCAAGCAGGCAUCAUCGCUCUUGCAUGGAUUAGCAUGGGAUAAUGAAAUAGGACCUUGGUGCUAUUUUGUUGGUUUCGAGCACCGAAGUAAUGAUUAACAGGGACAGUCAGGGGCACUCGUAUUCCGCCGAGAGAGGUGAAAUUCUCAGACCAGCGGAAGACGAACCACUGCGAAAGCAUUUGCCAGGGAUGUUUUCACUGAUCAAGAACGAAAGUUAGGGGAUAGAAGACGAUCAGAUACCGUCGUAGUCUUAACCAUAAACCAUGCCGACUAGGGAUU
This is a ribosomal RNA of 362 nucleotides. It matches the Rfam family "Eukaryotic small subunit ribosomal RNA", at positions 694 to 1054 of the family's 1831-position model.